GAUGAACGCUGGCGGCGUGCCUAAUACAUGCAAGUCGAGCGAACAGACGAGGAGCUUGCUCCUCUGACGUUAGCGGCGGACGGGUGAGUAACACGUGGAUAACCUACCUAUAAGACUGGGAUAACUUCGGGAAACCGGAGCUAAUACCGGAUAAUAUAUUGAACCGCAUGGUUCAAUAGUGAAAGACGGUUUUGCUGUCACUUAUAGAUGGAUCCGCGCCGCAUUAGCUAGUUGGUAAGGUAACGGCUUACCAAGGCGACGAUGCGUAGCCGACCUGAGAGGGGGAUCGGCCCACUUGGAACUGAGACCCGGGCAAGACUCCUAGGGGGGGCAGCAGUAGGGAAUCUUCCGAAAGGGGGGAAAGCCUGACGGAGAAACGCCGGGGGGGUGAUGAAGGUUUUCGGAUCGUAAAACUCUUUUAUUAGGGAAGAAAAAAUGGGUAAGUAACUAUGCACGUCUUGACGGUACCUAAUCAGAAAGCCACGGCUAACUACGU
Molecule: ribosomal RNA, 496 nt
Filed under: uncultured bacterium
Lineage: Bacteria
Description: partial 16S ribosomal RNA
Rfam family: Bacterial small subunit ribosomal RNA
Source: RNAcentral